AUACCCUAUUAUACUAGAAAAUAAAUAGGAAUACCAGAUUAUUAAUAGAUAUGUUCUUGAAAUUCAAAGAAUUUGGCGGUGAUUUAGUCUAAUCAGAGGAACCUGUUUUUUAAUCGAUAAACCACGUAGAAUCUUGCUUACUUUAUAAAAGGUUUGUAUACCGUCAUUAACAGAUAAUUUUUAGAGAAAGAAUUAUUAAUAAUAAGUAGUUUAUAUUAAUUAAAUUAGAUCAAGGUGCAGCUUAUAAGUAAGUUAAAAUGGGUUACAAUAAAUUUUAUUUAUGAUGAAUAUUUAAUGGAAGAAAUUAAUUAGAAGGAGGAUUUGAUUGUAAUAUAAGUUUAAUAUGCUUAGGAGACAUAAGCUCUAGAUCAUGUACAU
This 378-nucleotide ribosomal RNA is filed under the name Carpilius convexus. Its description in RNAcentral is "partial 12S ribosomal RNA". Lineage: Eukaryota; Metazoa; Arthropoda; Malacostraca; Decapoda; Carpiliidae. The record is from RNAcentral.